Molecule: transfer RNA, 70 nt
Filed under: Ictidomys tridecemlineatus (thirteen-lined ground squirrel)
Lineage: Eukaryota; Metazoa; Chordata; Mammalia; Rodentia; Sciuridae
Description: Spermophilus tridecemlineatus (thirteen-lined ground squirrel) tRNA
Rfam family: tRNA
About the family: Transfer RNA (tRNA) molecules are approximately 80 nucleotides in length. Their secondary structure includes four short double-helical elements and three loops (D, anti-codon, and T loops).
Source: Rfam by way of RNAcentral
GGGAGUAUAGCUCAGUUGGUAGAGUGCUUGCCUUGCAUGCACAAGGCCCUGGGUUUGAUUCCCAGUACCA